UUAUAUGUUAAUAAUCAUGUAGGGUGUAAUAGUAGGAUUUAUUUGACUGUGCUAUUUUGACACGUCAUUUUUUAAUUGGAUAUUACAUGGAAACAAAAUUAAAAAUUUAAUGGAAGGGUAGACACAGGGAUUUAUUUGAUAAUAGUUCAAACCUUAGGAAGUAAAUUGAUAACUUUUUAACCUUAGGAAGCAAUUCGAUCAAAGGUCAUUUCCCCUCCCCCCCUUUUUAAAUAAUUUGACCUAUUUAUGGUUCUUGUAUGAUGAAUACUUGAAGGAUUAUCUUUUUUAAAUUUAAAAUUAAUUGGAUACAAAUACAAUGAUUGGGAUUUAUCUCCCAUAUUGCGGGAUUCUACAGGGGUGCAGCUCUUCCAACUAAUACACCUGGUACCCCCUGCAUCUUUGAUCCUUAUGGAAGGGCUGGUAUAUGUGGUGAUUGGUUACUUGGUUCAAGUUUAGAGUCAGCAGCCUUAAGUGGAAUGACCCUUGCCAAUCACAUUGCAGAUUAUUUCCAAACGGGUGGAGCUCGUCCUGAAGAGUUUGCCAUGGGUUUAGAUAACGAGUUUCAACCGCUUGAAGGACAUGAUAUUGGACAAUUUCCGGGACUGGAGUCUGAAAAAGAGAUAAAUGAGGCCCAGGCAUAUCAACUUGCCUCUUGAAGUUGUGCUGGAGCAUGAGAAUCUCUUGGUUUGGGACAUUUCAUUGACUCGUAGAACUUCUGGCAGAAGUUGUUCAAGGCUCAGAGUUAUCAGCUAUCAGAAUAGUUGGUGAAGGAAGAUAUUGAUAUUAAUGCUCUCCUACCAAAUUGUGGAUGCAUAAUUUGAGCGGUUCAUCUGCCUAAAAGAGCAAUGGGAACAUGUGUUACUUGGCAACUUAUCACCACAGGUGUAUUGGUUUCUCAGGUCUAUGAAGAUUACUUUUAUGCUCCAUUAAUUUUGAGGCUCGAGGUAGGGGCUCUAGUCGGGGCAAAGUCGUAUUGAGGGUUUAGGACUGUGGUCUUGCGAGUUUAGGGCUUUUUGGGGUUUUAAGGGUUUGUUUUGCAGGCCUAUGGUUUUUUUGGGCUUAGGGCUCUCUUAUCGGGGUCAUAUUGUGGACUAACGUUGGUUUUCUUGUGUACUUAAGGACACCUUACGCUUUUUGAUAUGUACAACAUUACUUAUAAAAAAAAAAAAAUGAAAAUUACUGAA
Corylus avellana is the source of this 1184-nucleotide non-coding RNA. The record is from RefSeq and is a predicted model, not a curated record. Lineage: Eukaryota; Viridiplantae; Streptophyta; Magnoliopsida; Fagales; Betulaceae.